Molecule: ribosomal RNA, 301 nt
Filed under: uncultured bacterium
Lineage: Bacteria
Description: partial 16S ribosomal RNA
Rfam family: Bacterial small subunit ribosomal RNA
Source: RNAcentral
CAGCCGCCGCGGGAAUACGAGGGGGGCAAGCGUUGUUCGGAAUUAUUGGGCGUAAAGGGUGCGUAGGCGGAUCGUUAAGUUGGGGGUGAAAGCCCGGGGCUCAACCUCGGAAUUGCCUUCAAUACUGGCGAUCUUGAGUAUGGAAGAGGUAUGUGGAACUCCGAGUGUAGAGGUGAAAUUCGUAGAUAUUCGGAAGAACACCAGUGGCGAAGGCGACAUACUGGUCCAUUACUGACGCUGAGGCUCGAAAGCGUGGGGAGCAAACAGGAUUAGAUACCCCGGUAGUCCCUGUCUCUUAUAC